RNAcentral lists this ribosomal RNA (467 nucleotides) under uncultured bacterium. Its description in RNAcentral is "partial 16S ribosomal RNA". It matches the Rfam family "Bacterial small subunit ribosomal RNA", at positions 28 to 507 of the family's 1533-position model. The record is from RNAcentral.
GAUGAACGCUGGCGGCGUGCUUAACACAUGCAAGUCGAACGGAAAGGCCCAAGCUUGCUUGGGUACUCGAGUGGCGAACGGGUGAGUAACACGUGGGUGAUCUGCCCUGCACUUUGGGAUAAGCUCAGGAAACUGGGUCUAAUACCGGAUAGGAGCACUUCUUGGAUGUUGUGGUGGAGAGUUUUUUCGGGGUGGGAUUGGAUCUCGGCCUUUCUGCUUGUUUGUGGGGUGAGGGCCUUCCAAGGCGUCUUCGGGUGGCCGGGCUGGGAGGGUGUACGGCCACAUUGGGGCUGGGAUACGGCCCAGACCUCUACGGGGGGGAGCAGGUGGGAAUAUUUCACAAUGGGCGGAAGCCCGAUUCCGCGACGCCGCGGGGGGGAUGACGGCCUUCGGGUUGUAAACUCCUUUCGCUAUGGACCAAGCGGUUUGUGACGGUACCUGGUGAAGAAGCACCGGCUAACUACGUG